RNAcentral lists this unclassified non-coding RNA (209 nucleotides) under Hevea brasiliensis (rubber tree). Lineage: Eukaryota; Viridiplantae; Streptophyta; Magnoliopsida; Malpighiales; Euphorbiaceae. The record is from RNAcentral.
AUGACAUGAUGCAGUAGCUAUUAUACCCACACGCAGCACUACGCAAAACAGACGAACCAUUGACUACGUCAGAACAAAUAUUUUCAGGGAUGCAUUGCACGAUUGACCAGUUUUGCUCACCAUUGGUGCCCCUGGGAUAGGCAUACUGUGUGAAGACUCCAUUAUAAUCGAUUGUUGCUCGAUAGUAGAGUCUAGCCACGCUAGGUGAU